CCUACGGGUGGCAGCAGUGGGGAAUAUUGCACAAUGGGCGCAAGCCUGAUGCAGCCAUGCCGCGUGUGUGAAGAAGGCCUUCGGGUUGUAAAGCACUUUCAGCGGGGAGGAAGGCGGUGAGGUUAAUAACCUCAUCGAUUGACGUUACCCGCAGAAGAAGCACCGGCUAACUCCGUGCCAGCAGCCGCGGUAAUACGGAGGGUGCAAGCGUUAAUCGGAAUUACUGGGCGUAAAGCGCACGCAGGCGGUCUGUCAAGUCGGAUGUGAAAUCCCCGGGCUCAACCUGGGAACUGCAUUCGAAACUGACAGGCUAGAGUCUUGUAGAGGGGGGUAGAAUUCCAGGUGUAGCGGUGAAAUGCGUAGAGAUCUGGAGGAAUACCGGUGGCGAAGGCGGCCCCCUGGACAAAGACUGACGCUCAGGUGCGAAAGCGUGGGGAGCAAACAGGAUUAGAUACCCGAGUAGUC
RNAcentral lists this ribosomal RNA (465 nucleotides) under uncultured Klebsiella sp. Its description in RNAcentral is "bacterial SSU rRNA". It matches the Rfam family "Bacterial small subunit ribosomal RNA", at positions 338 to 795 of the family's 1533-position model. The record is from RNAcentral. Lineage: Bacteria; Pseudomonadati; Pseudomonadota; Gammaproteobacteria; Enterobacterales; Enterobacteriaceae.